UUAUGGGGUGUUACCAGUGGCAGUUUUGGUAUGGAAAUUCUGGUGGGGCCACACAAUAUUCAUGCAAGAAAAUCCGAUGCAAUCCAAACAUAUUACCACUCUCACAUCGUCACAACAUAUAAAGUGCAGAAGAGA
Long non-coding RNA from Thalassophryne amazonica, 135 nucleotides. RefSeq lists it as uncharacterized. Lineage: Eukaryota; Metazoa; Chordata; Actinopteri; Batrachoidiformes; Batrachoididae. The transcript is spliced from 3 exons. The record is from RefSeq and is a predicted model, not a curated record.